AUUGAACGCUGGCGGCAGGCCUAACACAUGCAAGUCGAACGGUAACAGGAAGCAGCUUGCUGCUUUGCUGACGAGUGGCGGACGGGUGAGUAAUGUCUGGGAAACUGCCCGAUGGAGGGGGAUAACUACUGGAAACGGUAGCUAAUACCGCAUAACGUCGCAAGACCAAAGAGGGGGACCUUAGGGCCUCUUGCCAUCGGAUGUGCCCAGAUGGGAUUAGCUAGUAGGUGGGGUAACGGCUCACCUAGGCGACGAUCCCUAGCUGGUCUGAGAGGAUGACCAGCCACACUGGAACUGAGACACGGUCCAGACUCCUACGGGAGGCAGCAGUGGAGAAUAUUGCACAAUGGGCGCAAGCCUGAUGCAGCCAUGCCGCGUGCAUGAAGAAGGCCUUCGGGUUGUAAAGUACUUUCAGCGGGGAGGAAGGGAGUAAAGUUAAUACCUUUGCUCAUUGACGUUACCCGCAGAAGAAGCACCGGCUAACUCCGUG
Molecule: ribosomal RNA, 490 nt
Filed under: uncultured bacterium
Lineage: Bacteria
Description: partial 16S ribosomal RNA
Rfam family: Bacterial small subunit ribosomal RNA
Source: RNAcentral